This 497-nucleotide ribosomal RNA is filed under the name uncultured bacterium. RNAcentral describes it as "partial 16S ribosomal RNA". It matches the Rfam family "Bacterial small subunit ribosomal RNA", at positions 28 to 507 of the family's 1533-position model. The record is from RNAcentral.
GACGAACGCUGGCGGCGUGCCUAAUACAUGCAAGUUGAGCGCUGAAGGUUGGUACUUGUACCGACUGGAUGAGCAGCGCACGGGUGAGUAACGCGUGGGGAAUCUGCCUUUGAGCGGGGGACAACAUUUGGAAACGAAUGCUAAUACCGCAUAAAAACUUUAAACACAAGUUUUAAGUUUGAAAGAUGCAAUUGCAUCACUCAAAGAUGAUCCCGCGUUGUAUUAGCUAGUUGGUGAGGUAAGGGCUCACCAAGGCGAUGAUACAUAGCCGACCUGAGAGGGUGAUCGGCCACAUUGGGACUGAGACACGGCCCAAACUCCUACGGGAGGCAGCAGUAGGGAAUCUUCGGCAAUGGACGAAAGUCUGACCGAGCAACGCCGCGUGAGUGAAGAAGGUUUUCGGAUCGUAAAACUCUGUUGGUAGAGAAGAACGUUGGUGAGAGUGGAAAGCUCAUCAAGUGACGGUAACUACCCAGAAAGGGACGGCUAACUACGUG